This 466-nucleotide ribosomal RNA is filed under the name uncultured bacterium. RNAcentral's name for it is "bacterial SSU rRNA". It matches the Rfam family "Bacterial small subunit ribosomal RNA", at positions 28 to 491 of the family's 1533-position model. The record is from RNAcentral.
GACGAACGCUGGCGGCGUGCCUAACACAUGCAAGUCGAACGGAACUGUUUUGAAAGAUUUCUUCGGAAUGAAUUUGAUUUAGUUUAGUGGCGGACGGGUGAGUAACGCGUGAGUAACCUGCCUUCAAGAGGGGGAUAACAUUCUGAAAAGAAUGCUAAUACCGCAUGACAUAUCGGAACCACAUGGUUUUGAUAUCAAAGAUUUUAUCGCUUGAAGAUGGACUCGCGUCCGAUUAGUUAGUUGGUGAGGUAACGGCUCACCAAGACCGCGAUCGGUAGCCGGACUGAGAGGUUGAACGGCCACAUUGGGACUGAGACACGGCCCAGACUCCUACGGGAGGCAGCAGUGGGGGAUAUUGCGCAAUGGGGGCAACCCUGACGCAGCAACGCCGCGUGAAGGAUGAAGGUUUUCGGAUUGUAAACUUCUUUUAUUAAGGACGAAAAAUGACGGUACUUAAUGAAUAAGC